CGAAAGCCUGACGCAGCGACGCCGCGUGGAGGAUGAAGGUCUUCGGAUUGUAAACUCCUGUCAGAGGUGAAGAAAGCCUUUUUAGGUCUGACGGUAACCUCAGAGGAAGCCCCGGCUAACUACGUGCCAGCAGCCGCGGUAAUACGUAGGGGGCAAACGUUGCUCGGAAUUACUGGGCGUAAAGGGUGCGCAGGUGGCUGAGAAAGUCGUUGAUGAAAUCCCGGGGCUUACCCCCGGAACUGUCUUCGAUACUUCUCAGCUUGAGGAUAGUCGAGGAGAACGGAAUUCCCGGUGGAGCGGUGAAAUGCGUAGAUAUCGGGAGGAACACCAGAGGCGAAGGCGGUUCUCUAGGCUAAUCCUGACACUGAGGCGCGAAAGCUAGGGGAGCG
RNAcentral lists this ribosomal RNA (389 nucleotides) under uncultured bacterium. RNAcentral's name for it is "bacterial SSU rRNA". It matches the Rfam family "Bacterial small subunit ribosomal RNA", at positions 376 to 770 of the family's 1533-position model. The record is from RNAcentral.